RNAcentral lists this ribosomal RNA (520 nucleotides) under uncultured Glomus. Its description in RNAcentral is "SSU rRNA". It matches the Rfam family "Eukaryotic small subunit ribosomal RNA", at positions 569 to 1089 of the family's 1831-position model. The record is from RNAcentral. Lineage: Eukaryota; Fungi; Glomeromycota; Glomeromycetes; Glomerales; Glomeraceae.
AGCAGCCGCGGUAAUUCCAGCUCCAAUAGCGUAUAUUAAAGUUGUUGCAGUUAAAAAGCUCGUAGUUGAAUUUCGGGGUUAGUAGGUUGGUCGUGCCACUGGUACGUACUGGUCUCACUGAUUCCUCCCUCUUGAAGAUCUGUAAUGUCAUUAAUUUGAUGUUGCGGGGAAUCAGGACUGUUACUUUGAAAAAAUUAGAGUGUUUAAAGCAGGCUUACGCUUGAAUACAUUAGCAUGGAAUAAUGAAAUAGGACGUAUGAUCCUAUUUUGUUGGUUUCUAGGAUUGACGUAAUGAUUAAUAGGGAUAGUUGGGGGCAUUAGUAUUCAAUUGUCAGAGGUGAAAUUCUUGGAUUUAUUGAAGACUAACUACUGCGAAAGCAUUUGCCAAGGAUGUUUUCAUUAAUCAAGAACGAAAGUUGGGGGAUCGAAGACGAUCAGAUACCGUCGUAGUCUUAACCAUAAACUAUGCCGACUAGGGAUCGGAUGAUGUUAAUUUUUUUAAUGACUCAUUCGGCGCCUU